AGUGAACGCUGGCGGUAGGCCUAACACAUGCAAGUCGAACGGCAGCACAGUAAGAGCUUGCUCUUACGGGUGGCGAGUGGCGGACGGGUGAGGAAUACAUCGGAAUCUACUUUUUCGUGGGGGAUAACGUAGGGAAACUUACGCUAAUACCGCAUACGACCUACGGGUGAAAGCAGGGGAUCUUCGGACCUUGCGCGAUUGAAUGAGCCGAUGUCGGAUUAGCUAGUUGGCGGGGUAAAGGCCCACCAAGGCGACGAUCCGUAGCUGGUCUGAGAGGAUGAUCAGCCACACUGGAACUGAGACACGGUCCAGACUCCUACGGGAGGCAGCAGUGGGGAAUAUUGGACAACGGGCGCAAGCCUGAUCCAGCCAUACCGCGUGGGUGAAGAAGGCCUUCGGGUUGUAAAGCCCUUUUGUUGGGAAAGAAAAGCAGCAGGUUAAUACCCCGCUGUUCUGACGGUACCCAAGGAAUAAGCACCGGCUAACUUCGUG
RNAcentral lists this ribosomal RNA (492 nucleotides) under uncultured bacterium. RNAcentral describes it as "partial 16S ribosomal RNA". It matches the Rfam family "Bacterial small subunit ribosomal RNA", at positions 29 to 507 of the family's 1533-position model. The record is from RNAcentral.